RNAcentral lists this ribosomal RNA (497 nucleotides) under uncultured bacterium. RNAcentral's name for it is "partial 16S ribosomal RNA". It matches the Rfam family "Bacterial small subunit ribosomal RNA", at positions 28 to 507 of the family's 1533-position model. The record is from RNAcentral.
GACGAACGCUGGCGGCGUGCCUAAUACAUGCAAGUAGAACGCUGAAGCGAGGAGCUUGCUCUUCUUGGAUGAGUUGCGAACGGGUGAGUAACGCGUAGGUAACCUGCCUUGUAGCGGGGGAUAACUAUUGGAAACGAUAGCUAAUACCGCAUAACAAUGGAUGACACACGUCAUUUAUUUGAAAGGGGCAAUUGCUCCACUACAAGAUGGACCUGCGUUGUAUUAGCUAGUAGGUGAGGUAAUUGCUCACCUAGGCGACGAUACAUAGCCGACCUGAGAGGGUGAUCGGCCACACUGGGACUGAGACACGGCCCAGACUCCUACGGGAGGCAGCAGUAGGGAAUCUUCGGCAAUGGGGGCAACCCUGACCGAGCAACGCCGCGUGAGUGAAGAAGGUUUUCGGAUCGUAAAGCUCUGUUGUAAGUCAAGAACGGGUGUGAGAGUGGAAAGUUCACACUGUGACGGUAGCUUACCGGAAAGGGACGGCUAACUACGUG